GCGCGAUGAAGGUUUAACCAUCUUUCGGCUGAGUACAUGAUGCCAGAAUUUUCUUACUGAGCGCGG
Molecule: non-coding RNA, 66 nt
Organism: Caenorhabditis brenneri
Lineage: Eukaryota; Metazoa; Nematoda; Chromadorea; Rhabditida; Rhabditidae
Source: Rfam